UACGUAGGGUGCAAGCGUUAUCCGGAUUUACUGGGCGUAAAGCGUCUGUAGGCGGAAAUGUAAGUCGUUAGUGAAAGCCUCCGGCUCAACCGGAGAAUUGCUGACGAAACUGCAUUUCUGGAAUCUCACAGGGGAGGCUGGAACUGUUGGUGUAGCAGUGAAAUGCGUUGAUAUCAACAGGAACACCGAGGGCGAAGGCAGGCCUCUGGGUGAGCAUUGACGCUGAGAGACGACAGCUAGGGGAGCGAAAGGG
Molecule: unclassified non-coding RNA, 253 nt
Filed under: uncultured Patescibacteria group bacterium
Lineage: Bacteria
Description: contains 16S-23S intergenic spacer region
Rfam family: Bacterial small subunit ribosomal RNA
Source: RNAcentral